This 423-nucleotide long non-coding RNA is filed under the name Ananas comosus (pineapple). RNAcentral describes it as "long non-coding RNA (ACOM_LNC010517)". The record is from RNAcentral. Lineage: Eukaryota; Viridiplantae; Streptophyta; Magnoliopsida; Poales; Bromeliaceae.
UGAUGGCUCAUUAUUAUAUGAUAGUGGGUGAGUUAAUGGGUGCUUAGUGGUGAGUUAGUGUAGGCUAGAUUCAAUGUAUCUAGGAGCCUAUAAAUUGUGAGGAUGGUUUAGCCUAAAGUAAAGAAGAAGGAAGAGAGGUGGAAACACAAGAAGAGUUGUGUAUUGUAAUCCUAUUUUCCUAAGUAGUAGAAUACUUAGUUUUUUUGGGAACCUCUGCCUCUCUCUCUUCUCUCCUUUUUGCAUACUUAGUCGUAGGGCAUGUAGGUCCAAGCUAGCAACAAGGAGCUAAGUUUGCCCAUCUUCGAACAGGAAGGCAGCGCUGCAUGCGUUUUGCGAACAAAAAUGCUAAAGCCGUGACAACUUGCUAUAAUACACCUCAUAUUACAGAAUAAAUUAAAGAUUAAAGGCGCAAUCGCAAUUAUC